GUGUACAAGUUGUACAAAUUAUAAUUUGUAUUGUACAGAUUUUUUGUACAUGUUAUCAGUGUUUUCUGAACCACUUGACAAAAAUGGAUGAUUCAAGCACAUAGCCUUUUGUUUUUCUACUUCUGGCUUUUUUAAUUUGAACUUUGCUUGUAAAUAAAGUGAUUUUAAGUAUACAAAUUCUAUAAAUAGUAUCAUAUUGGAUAAAUUCUGUCUAUAAAUAGUAACACAGAGGAUGAAUACAAUCUGUACAAAACAACAAUAAAUCUGCAUAAAACUUAACAAAUUAACAAAAUUUAACAAAUUAUACAUCAAUAUUUUAAUAUAUCAACAGAAAGGAGUUGGGUGGGAGUAUUUACCUGUAGAUCAGCUCACAUAUACUAAACAUAAACACACUAUUGUGACCUACAAACUCCAUCAUUAAUAACAUUCCAAUCCAUCAACACACUUAGCAUUUCAAUUAACAUUCAAAAUCAUCAUAUCUGAUAAUCAUAGGAAAUUAAAUGCUUAAGAAUUGAUGUGAUAAAUGUUUUUUUUUAGGGAAAUGCCUCAAUGAAUUGGUUUGAUCAGAGAUAUUAGGAAGUCGAUUCUGCAAAGCACAGCAGCUCAAAUCAAAUACAAGAUAUGAUGUUACCAUCAGCAUGAUUCACAGUUUUUCACACUGCAAAGAAGUUUACAAUUGUCAGUUAGAUCUGUCUAUUUUUUUUGAAUGUUUAUUCAACUGGUGGAAAGGCCUGACUCGCCAAGUUGUCUAGUUUGGGUUGCUGUCUGUUUGACACAUUCCCAAUUUCCAUUCUCAAUUUUAGGUAGUGUUUCUUGAUCUCUAGUAUGUCAAGAUCUAACCUGCUUGUUGCAAGGUACAUUAGCCUAAGAUCUCUUGAUCUCUAGUAUGUCAAGAUCUAACCUGCUUGUUGCAAGGUACAUUAGCCUAAGAUCUCUUGAUCUCUAGUAUGUCAAGAUCUAACCUGCUUGUUGCAAGGUACAUUAGCCUAAGAUCUCUUGAUUUAGUAUGUCAAGAUCUAACCUGCUUGUUGCAAGGUACAUUAGCCUAAGAUCU
RNAcentral lists this long non-coding RNA (1054 nucleotides) under Mytilus galloprovincialis (Mediterranean mussel). Lineage: Eukaryota; Metazoa; Mollusca; Bivalvia; Mytilida; Mytilidae. The record is from RNAcentral.